GCGGGGUUGGUGUAGUUGGUCAUCACGUCAGUCUAACAGAGCAAUCUGAAGAGCACUGAAGGUCGCGAGUUCAAGUCUCGCAUCCCGUA
Phyllosticta capitalensis is the source of this 89-nucleotide non-coding RNA. NCBI's taxonomy places the organism in Eukaryota, Fungi, Ascomycota, Dothideomycetes, Botryosphaeriales, Phyllostictaceae. The record is from the annotation of a GenBank genome assembly.